CAACAGCCCAUGAUUGCAUUAUGGGUGCGCCAAUUGAAUGCCCGAAGCAUCAGCUCCCCAGGUGCCUCCAUUGUCCCGCUGUGAUCUCCGAUGCACUCCUCUUUCUGAUUGCCUGCGGUAAAUACAUCAUGUUGUGGCUCAGCAAUUACUGGCCAAGAUGGGACAUCGCUACUGCCAAUGAUUGCUGUGAUGCAGCAUGGCGUAUUGACUACCCGGGUGGAAGGGGAGUACCUCUUUAAGAACCUCACAGACUGGCCCCUGAACUUUGCGCACUACAACACCAUAGCCAGAAUACAGGGCUGUGUGCACAUCAA
Hyla sarda is the source of this 314-nucleotide long non-coding RNA. RefSeq lists it as uncharacterized. Lineage: Eukaryota; Metazoa; Chordata; Amphibia; Anura; Hylidae. The transcript is spliced from 3 exons. The record is from RefSeq and is a predicted model, not a curated record.